GACGGGUGAGUAACACGUAGGUAACCUGCCCAUGUGCCCGGGAUAACUUCUGGAAACGGAUGCUAAAACCGGAUAGGUAGCAGACAAGCAUUUGACUGCUAUUAAAGUGGCUAAGGCCAUGAACAUGGAUGGACCUGCGGUGCAUUAGCUAGUUGGUGAGGUAACGGCCCACCAAGGCGACGAUGCAUAGCCGGCCUGAGAGGGCGGACGGCCACAUUGGGACUGAGACACGGCCCAAACUCCUACGGGAGGCAGCAGUAGGGAAUUUUCGUCAAUGGGGGGAACCCUGAACGAGCAAUGCCGCGUGAGUGAGGAAGGUCUUCGGAUCGUAAAGCUCUGUUGUAAGAGAAAAACGACAUUCAUAGGGAAUGAUGAGUGAGUGAUGGUAUCUUACCAGAAAGUCACGGCUAACUACGUGCCAGCAGCCGCGGUAAUACGAU
Molecule: ribosomal RNA, 440 nt
Filed under: uncultured Eubacterium sp.
Lineage: Bacteria; Bacillati; Bacillota; Clostridia; Eubacteriales; Eubacteriaceae
Description: bacterial SSU rRNA
Rfam family: Bacterial small subunit ribosomal RNA
Source: RNAcentral